Molecule: ribosomal RNA, 229 nt
Filed under: uncultured bacterium
Lineage: Bacteria
Description: partial 16S ribosomal RNA
Rfam family: Bacterial small subunit ribosomal RNA
Source: RNAcentral
UGCGUAGGCGGAAGAUUAAGUCAGUAGUGAAAUCCUGCAGCUCAACUGUAGAACUGUUAUUGAUACUGAUCUUCUUGAAUACAGUUGAGGUAGGCGGAAUAUGUAAUGUAGCGGUGAAAUGCUUAGAUAUUACAUAGAACACCGAUUGCGAAGGCAGCUUACUAAACUAUGAUUGACGCUGAGGUACGAAAGCGUGGGGAGCGAACAGGAUUAGAUACCCUGGUAGUCC